GAGAGGAAGCAGAGAUCGGGAGAUGAAAUGGUUGAAACUUAGAUUUGGAACGAGGUUACCUUAAGGAGCAAGAUGUAGUUGAAACGAGAAAUGGAAUCUCGCGAAGCAGUGAAAGGCAGAGGACGCGAAGGACUACGGUUCUGUGAAGAGAAAUAUAAUGCGUGUCUGAUGUGCGAGAAGAAGAGCGAAUGAUGUGGAAUAAAGGAGCUGACGCGUGGCUGAAACUGAAUAGCGCCGCUGGUCUGAAACAGGUUGGUGAUAAGAUGAUGCGUGGAGAAAAGAUAAAGCACAAAGGAUAUAAUGGAGAAAAUGAAAAUGGAGGGAGAUGUGCUUGGAAAGUGGCUAGAGGGAGUCUUUGGACUCUCUAGCCUAUGACUUUCAAGAGAGAAUUAAUUCUGGGUUUCAGAAAUCUAAUUCUCAUUAAUCUCAAAAGUGAAUAAUACAAGUGACGAGCUGGGUAUUUUAUAGUGACCCAUGCUCCUUGCAAGCUACAGUACAGAUACAAUAACAUGUAAAAAGAGGACUACAUGAGACAGGAUUCCAUCA
This 546-nucleotide long non-coding RNA is filed under the name Vigna radiata. RNAcentral's name for it is "long non-coding RNA (VRAD_LNC005339)". Lineage: Eukaryota; Viridiplantae; Streptophyta; Magnoliopsida; Fabales; Fabaceae. The record is from RNAcentral.